Molecule: long non-coding RNA, 1687 nt
Organism: Brassica oleracea var. oleracea
Lineage: Eukaryota; Viridiplantae; Streptophyta; Magnoliopsida; Brassicales; Brassicaceae
Exons: 8
Source: RefSeq, a predicted model, not a curated record
CUUAAUCCUUCAUUUCGUCUAGAUUUUUCUCGCCUACUGCGAAACUUGAUAGUCACCGGUUACAAAUCAAAGGUUCACCCACAUCAUCCACUAAUUAAUCAUUUACUCUCCCCCUUUAGUUUAGUAAUCGAUUCAGUUUUUGAGAUCCCGAAUAAUCUGAGAGGAUUUUUAAUUACGAUGGCGACUAAUCUGAGGUGGAGGAUUAGCCAGAGAUGGAAGGAAAGUGGGUAGGGAGGACGCCAUAGGGAGUGGGACUGGUGGUGAAGCUAGCUGGCGGCGAUUAAGUAGCAGACAGGGAUGAUUGCAAAGUAAACUGUCAAAGAAUAAUACUGAACAUAAUUUGCAGUGUCGCCACCUGCUAAAAAGAUAUGUGGAACUUUAAGUCAAUGACAGAUGAUGAUCCAAUGAAGUUUGGGUUUGGCUCACCAGGAAUCAAAGAUAAGAAGAAGAAGAAGAACAAGAAAAGAAGAAGAACAAGAAGAUGAUGAAGAAGAAGAAGGCCUUCAAGCUGUGAGUGUAAACAUACACUAUAUGCUUCUUUGAUCAUAUAUAACAUUGGACGACCCAUCCCUAAUCAAUCAGGUUCCAUCUCUUUCUCUCCCUCUCUCUGUUAUCCAUCGUUCCUCACUAUUUCUAAUCAGUUUUUAUGAUGCCUUCGUUUGAGCUAAUUGUAUAUGUGUGGUUACGGAGUUGCCGGAACUGGGUAAAGAAUUUUCUGCUCAUAUGCUUAAUUAGUACACUCACAGAUGAUGAGCUUUCUGGAUUGGAAGUGUGGGGGUCUUCUUUUGAGAUGCCAAAACUGGAUGUUUUAAAAUGUUUCUCUAAUUGAUUUGCCAUAAUUUGAGUUGUUAGAUGUGACCACGAGGAGGCAAAUUCAGUAGACAGAUCAUCAGAGGUAUCUUGAACCAAAAGUUACAAGCAUUUUUUCACAUAAUCAGGAUAGUGACUUGAAAAUGCUUCAGAAGAAAAACAGAAUUGGUCUUCUUCUGCUUGAAGUUAAAACGUAAGCCAAUCUGAAGAAAAGUACAAGAAGAGCAAGGGUUGGUGGUUGCAAUUUUGCUCCUACUCUCCAUCGACAAUAUAUGAGCUCAUGUUGUGUCUCAGUUCUGACUAAUGUCUAACUCCCCCUCCACAAAUUCAUACACAACAAUAGACAAGAAAUAGCGCAAAUUUUAUCUGAUCACCGGCCAUACAGGCUCUGCAAUAGUUCCAAGUAUAUGAAGACAACUUCAAACUCUCCUAACAGAUCUCAAAAAAGCAAUCGUGCAUUCCGAACUGAGGUGUAGCACAUUAUUAUACGGUUAUGGACUCUUUUAUUUUGUGUUUACGGUCGUGUUUCAUUUUUUAUAUAUUUGGUUCCAAACUAUAGCCUGAGCAUCUUAGAGAGCAUGCCAAAGAAGAAACAAAUGCAAUUUCUUAUGAACCUGGUGUGGAGAAUACCCUAAGGAGAAACACUUCUUCGAACCCCUUUCGAUAUACCCGAAACCACACGGAAAUCACUCACUCACCCAUCUGCUUCAUGGUGAUUCUUGCAUAGAUAAGAAAUGAUUAGCACAAGACGUUUGUUGGUUGUUUAAUAUUCAUGCGGGAUAUUGUCUCCUUCUUCACUAUUUGGUAAAGUUAGAGGAAACUGUGCAACAAAUAUACUAUUGUUAAAUUAAAUAUAUGAUGGGGCUGAUUAUUUGAA